UUGGGCACUCUAAGUUGACUGCCGGUGACAAACCGGAGGAAGGUGGGGAUGACGUCAAAUCAUCAUGCCCCUUAUGAUUUGGGCUACACACGUGCUACAAUGGACAAUACAAAGGGCAGCGAAACCGUGAGGUCAAGCAAAUCCCAUAAAGUUGUUCUCAGUUCGGAUUGUAGUCUGCAACUCGACUACAUGAAGCUGGAAUCGCUAGUAAUCGUAGAUCAGCAUGCUACGGUGAAUACGUUCCCGGGUCUUGUA
Molecule: ribosomal RNA, 255 nt
Filed under: Staphylococcus aureus
Lineage: Bacteria; Bacillati; Bacillota; Bacilli; Caryophanales; Staphylococcaceae
Description: partial 16S ribosomal RNA
Rfam family: Bacterial small subunit ribosomal RNA
Source: RNAcentral